RNAcentral lists this transfer RNA (94 nucleotides) under Mycobacterium triplex. Its description in RNAcentral is "tRNA-Asp". The record is from RNAcentral. Lineage: Bacteria; Bacillati; Actinomycetota; Actinomycetes; Mycobacteriales; Mycobacteriaceae.
GGCCGGGGCGGUGCGCGAGGCCGGCGCCGACGUGAUCGCCGUCGCGACGGCCGAAGACGAUGUCGCGCAGUUCGGUUCGAUCCUGGAUCGGCAU